Molecule: long non-coding RNA, 3119 nt
Filed under: Rattus norvegicus (Norway rat)
Lineage: Eukaryota; Metazoa; Chordata; Mammalia; Rodentia; Muridae
Description: long non-coding RNA NONRATT013567
Source: RNAcentral
GGAGAUUUUCAGCCUGGGUGGAACCCGCCUCCGGGAUGCAGAAGCCUGGUUGCCAAGGUCCAAGGACCUUAAAAAACCCGGAGCUAAAAUGCAGUAGACUGGAGGCCUCUGCUGACUGUAGGCUGAAGGUGGUAUUUGCAGACCGGCUUUGUGGAAACAACCCUGAUCCUAAAGGGGCUGGGCCCUGGCCCGGCUGCAGAGCUUGUGUGGGAACCAACUCUAGGAGGAAAACCUACAAGCACAACCAAGGAGCAGGCCUGCUCAGUCCUUGGACCUUAGAGGAAGCAAGCUGGAGAGGAAGAGAAAGAGUAGAAGGCUGGUGGAAUGUCUGCUCCUCCGUGGAUCUCGAUGCAGUGAGAAGUUGGAUGGUAGGGUAGGGAAGGGUAGCUGAAGCCACUGCAGACAGCUCACACAAGCCACCUGCAUAGCGUCCGUUGGUGGCUUCUGGAUGACCUGGCAGUGUGUCUGAACAUUUUCUCAGGGAAACAGCAGUUGCAAUGCUAUGUGAAUAAAGGGAGAAAGGAGUUGUUGUUUGCUGAGCUCCUGUGGAGCCAAGCGACUCUAGCCCUCACAGUAGUCCUUAGGAACACACUGACGUUACGCACUUUUGCAGGCAGGAAAUAGAUUCAGAAGAGACGAACUUUCCCGGUGUUACACAGCUAGUGUUGCUACAUUCUAGAAACAUGCCUAGGCUAUAAAAGCUUUGUUCUUUAAGCCACUAAAUUGUUAACUGCAGUCUUCUGUGCAAUAAUGUACGUUACAAUAACAGUUUCAGUGACUUUGAAACAGCAGUGGGGCACUCUGAGCACUGUAAGAUACCCGUUCCACUUGGCCUCUGUGGUCUAGGAGAUGCCCAGGCUGUGGGUGAACGGGUCACCUUCUCGUUAGGCCCUGGAUGCUGCAUCCGUUCCCUUUGUUCUGAGUGUGCUCCCCACCGCUGGCCCACAGUUUGCUAUGCCCAGACGCUCUCACUUCAGGCAGAGCAGUGCAUGGCACUAAAGCUGUCAGCCUGACCCCUCUUUUCCUGACAGCUUCUCUCUGAUGACCUCUGUGCUUGUUUCCUGCCCCCAGCCCAAACGUUUGUUAGAAGACUGAGUGGAUUUAUGCACUGAGUCCUGCCCAGAGACCAGUCUCGACUCAGCCGUACCUCAUUUUCCAUCCUUAAAUGCCAAAAAGUGUGAAGUUUGUUACUUAGCCAGCUUUACGGGCGAGGACUGGGCACCUCGUCAUAUGUGUGUUCUGUGCACCCCGUGUGUUAGCUUUGUCCCAGCUCUGCUGCUUUAGUAAUGCAGAUAUGGGUCACUCUGUUUCCAGUCCACAAGACAGAGGUCUGCCACCUUGUUUUCUGCCUUUGCCCUGCUUUGCUAGUUGUGUACUGGAUCAUUCUGCUCUUCAACCCUAGAGCUCACCACUUGUCCCUAGUAUCCUGGUAGUUCGGACAGUGGUGUAUUAACUUGUCUUUGGUUGGCAUUUGACUUGUGAAUGAAGAUUCUGAUUACUAUAUGUGUUUGACUAGGGGACAAUCAAAAGAUCAGAACCACUACAACAAAGGCUGAUGUGUGCAUGUUAAGGAUGUUUUAUGUUAUGUAAUUUGCGGAGAUGGCUUAGCCUCUAGGGCUGUCAUUUGUAUAUAAUACUAGGACUUAAAGUAUUCAGGACGGGGAGUCAGGAAGGGAAGGUGGAAGGACAUGGAAACCUUGAACAAGAGUUGGAAUUCAAGAAGAUGGCCUGGAACCCGUGCAGUGUCUCACCGCCUCCAGCUUCAAUGAUGUUUGUAUCCUGCAGAAGAAGCUAGUGUCCUUAGGAGCAUCUGGCCUAGGACUAGAGAAGCUAAAGGAAGACCCAGGGAAAUUGUAGCCGCUGAAGGCCUGGCUGUAGGACUUGCUGUUUCCCCGUACCAAGGUGAGACAGCAGACUAAUGACAGCUUGUAUGAACUGCAACAUGCUUGCUGUCCCUGCACCAACCUUCCAAGUGUUAAGAACAGCCUGCUGCUGCUGCUUCACUUCUACUAGCCACAGCCUUUCUGUGGAUGUUCUUAACUGGAAUGUAUGGGGAAGGAUCCCAGGAAGCAUAGUCUAGUCAAGGUGACAUGUUAGAAAGCCACCUUACCAUGACUCAGCUCCAUGAGGUCUCACCACUCACCUGAGGAUAACGUAACAAAACUACAUUGCUGAAAAGGUAAAGCUGGAGACCAUGGAUUUCGUGAUGGUCCCAGCAAGUAAAGAAAUCAUGUCCCGCUGAUCCAGAACAGUCUUGCUGAUCUCAGCUGUAUUUGUGUUAUUCAUCCAAGUCUUGAAAGCUUAGCUCACUGUACAUAAUACUGAGAUUCAGAAGUGCAGUUUUAUAAAAUGCAUCAAUAUAUAUUACAAGUGAUAAAAUAGCUCCGGUUUACUAUGGACUUCGAUGCUGAAAUAUAGAAUUGAGUAUACUGUGGAGAAGCCAGUCCUUUUUUGAGUUUUUUUUUCAAAGUAGUAUAGUAGUUGGAAACAACUUAAUCAUUUCUAUUUCUAAGGUGUUCUAUUGUAAAGUUAUUUUAAAACAAAUUCUCCUGUUCUAUUACUUGUUUUUUCUGUUAGUGUUUCUUUGUGGGGAUGUUUGGUGGUGGUAACAGUGUUGACUGCUGUGGGAAAUUGGGAUAGUGGGUGUCAGGAUUAUGGUCAGUUGUGUUAUUUCCCCUGGCUUCCGUGGGGUGGCUGCAGGCUGAGGCCUGACUGCACUUGUUGCUCAUCCCACCAUGCAGCCAGUCAGGCUCCUCCGGGCCUAGGCUGCUUGAGAAUGCCAUUGGGUAGCUUUUAAAGCUGGUGCCAGCUGCCGUGGGGCAGAGCCUCUGCCUGCAAAGCCCCUUGAUGUUUGGAAAAGCUGGUUUUACUCUUGAGAGAGUGGUGAAACGGUCUAAACGAGAGCUAGUGUGGCCAGGCUCAUGGGCUAACUGCUCUUCUGUGUGAGCUCAAGAUGGUCCUAUGAUGUCUGCAAGCACUGGCUGCCUCUAAGGGUCAGCUUCCCUGGGCCUUCCCAGACUCACCAACAAGACCUCUGUGGCGACCCAAACCCUGGUCUCUGGGGUUCACAAACCCUGCUGAAGGGAUCUGUUCCCUCUGUAGAGGGUGUGCUGGGGGUG